GAUGAACGCUGGCGGCGUGCCUAAUACAUGCAAGUCGAGCGAACAGAUGAGGAGCUUGCUCCUCUGACGUUAGCGGCGGACGGGUGAGUAACACGUGGAUAACCUACCUAUCAGACUGGGAUAACUUCGGGAAACCGGAGCUAAUACCGGAUAAUAUAUUGCACCGCAUGGUUCAAUAGUGAAAGACGGCUUUGCUGUCACUUAUAGAUGGUUCCGGGCUGCAUUAGCUAGUUGGUAAGGUAACGGCUUACCAAGGCAACGAUGCGUAGCCGACCUGAGAGAGUGAUCGGCCACACUGGAAGUGGGCCAGGGUCCAGACUCCUGCGGGAGGCAGCAGUAGGGAACCUGCGGCAAAGGGCGAAAGCCUGACGGAGCAGCGCCGCGUGAGUGAUGAAGGUCUUCGGAUCGUAAAACUCUGUUAUUAGGGAAGAACAACUGUGUAAGUAACUAUGCACGGCUUGACGGUACCUGGUCAGAAAGCAACGGCUAACUACGUG
This 497-nucleotide ribosomal RNA is filed under the name uncultured bacterium. RNAcentral describes it as "partial 16S ribosomal RNA". It matches the Rfam family "Bacterial small subunit ribosomal RNA", at positions 28 to 507 of the family's 1533-position model. The record is from RNAcentral.